GUGCUUGCUUUGGCAGCACGUAUACUAAAAUUGGAACAAUACAGAGAUUAGUAUGGCCCCUGUGCAAGGAUGACACGCAAAUUCUUGAAGGGUUCCAUAUUUUU
This 104-nucleotide small nuclear RNA is filed under the name Phascolarctos cinereus (koala). The record is from RNAcentral. Lineage: Eukaryota; Metazoa; Chordata; Mammalia; Diprotodontia; Phascolarctidae.